Molecule: long non-coding RNA, 1904 nt
Organism: Numida meleagris (helmeted guineafowl)
Lineage: Eukaryota; Metazoa; Chordata; Aves; Galliformes; Numididae
Source: Ensembl
CGCCCCUCGCCUCGCAGCCAAUCCGAAGGCGGAAAGGCGGGAGGGGGCGGGGAGAGGGGCGGGGCCAAGCUGCCGGGCCUCGGCCGUGCGGCAUUGUGCGGAGCGCCCCGCCCCCGGCAGCACCGCCCGCCCCGCGCUCCCGGGUGGCUUCAUUAUCCUGCGUUACACCUCUGCUGUGUGUGGGGGGCUUUGUAUUUUUUUAAUAUCUUUAUGUUUUCAUGCUUUAUAUAUUUACAGGUAUCUCUUUUUGUAUCAAUACGGAAUUAUAUCUUUAGCCGUUUUUUUAUUUUUUAUCUUCGGCGUUUUUGUAUUUUAGUUUCUUAUAUCUUCACGGCUUAUAUUUCUAUAUCUCAACGCUUCCACGUUUUCUACGAUAACAUUUUACAUUGCCGUAUAUUUUCGACGUUAUUUACUCUCAUACAUACCCAUACAUCUACGCCGCGCCGUUUCCCUCGGGGCAAACCCCUUUGGGAUCGGCUCUGUGCGAUCGCCGCCGUUCGCCGAGCUCCGAGGGCACCCUCCGAGCACGACCCGCAGCACCGCGGCACCCACCUCCCAACGGGGAGCUCGAUAAAGGGCCGCAAGAAGAUAAGGGAACGCCUGAGCGCUGCUCGCGGCUCACAGACCCCGCGGUGCCCGCACCGCCCGCUGACAUCCAGCAGCACCGCGCUGCCCGAGGCGCUCCCCGCGGGUAGGGCCGGGCCGGGCCGGGCUGCAGCGCUCGCCGCUCCCCCUGGUGCCGUCAGAGAGGGUUGCAAGCGCUGAGCGCAGCCCAGGGCCCGAAAUGCAGCACCCCGACACCCAGCGGUGCCCCGCGCCGCGUUCCGGACGGGGACAGCCCCUUGCUCCGGCGUUCGGUCCCCAACCAGAAAGCGAGAACGCUGCAUCCGAGCGGGUGGGUCCUCGGCGCCGAGCUCCGAGCUCAGCUUGGGGGGUGUCAGCUUCCCCGCGGGGUUGUUCCUAUUCCAUCGCAUCAGCAAGAUUUCCUUCCCCAGUGGAAAGGUUCCAGGAGCGAUUUAACAGCCGGCGUUCUCUGACCUAUUUGCAAGCCCCAAGCCUCUCCCCGCCACCCACCGCUGGGAAGCUUUGAUAAUUCAAUGAGAUGUUAAUUCUGAUACCCGCUAGAACUCAUGAUACAAAAACUUUUUCUUUUUUUAAUUAUCAUUAAUUGCAACGCAGGAGGAAUGAGACUUCGCCACUGACUCCAUUGCCAAAGCAGCAUUGUGCUGCACAGCUCCCAUUAGGCCCAAGUGCUGCCCGAGCAGGCAGCUCCCCAAAAUGCACACAGCCACUGCGGGGACCAGCAGGACCCGUCCUGCCCUCCCUGCUGCCACCAGAGCCCCACGCUGACCAUUGGGACAGCAGCGUGUCCCUUAGGCCGCCCUUCCUGGGCGAACCGUUUCAUUAUUCUGCAUUUCAUUUCAUUAUUCUGCACGUGCACUGGCCAUUUUUUAAAAUCAUCCGACAACCUGAAGAGCGAUGAUGGAUGGGACGGGAGAUUCCCAAGAGCCUUUGGCAGGAGCGCGUCACUGACACUCAGCUCGGACACUGAUCCCAACCAGGAACCAGCUGAAAACAGAAGCCAAAGCAGCAGCUUUAUGGCCAGAGCCAGCACGGCGCAGUACGUAACAGCAUGGGUGCUGGGAAGAAAAUCAUUCUAAAAAAUAUUUCUGUUCUCAUGACCGAGCCUAAUGCGAGCAAUGAGAGAACGACGCAGCGCGUAGCUUUAUCUCUGUGUGCUUCAGAAACCAAACACCUGCGUUGUUCUGUCCCACAGCUGGCGCCUCUCUCGUCACUUCCCAGCUAACGGGGCUGCAAAGUCCCAACCCGGGCACCAGCAGAGCCAGCACAGCUCCGUGCUCACGUGAAAUAAAUGCAGUGAGCAGGCAGGGGGUGCUGGUGCC